GAUGAACGCUGGCGGCGUGCCUAAUACAUGCAAGUCGAGCGAACAGACGAGGAGCUUGCUCCUCUGACGUUAGCGGCGGACGGGUGAGUAACACGUGGAUAACCUACCUAUAAGACUGGGAUAACUUCGGGAAACCGGAGCUAAUACCGGAUAAUAUAUUGAACCGCAUGGUUCAAUAGUGAAAGACGGUGUUUCUGUCACUUAUAGAUGGAUCCGCGCCGCAUUAGCUAGUUGGUAAGGUAACGGCUUACCAAGGCAACGAGGCGUAGCCGACCUGAGAGGGUGAUCGGCCACCCUGGAACUGAGACACGGUCCAGACUCCUACGGGAGGCAGCAGUAGGGAAUCUUACGCAAUGGGCGAAAGCCUGACGGAGCAACGCCGCGUGAGUGAUGAAGGUCUUCGGAUCGUAAAACUCUGUUAUUAGGGAAGAACAAAUGUGUAAGUAACUAUGCACGUCUUGACGGUACCUAAUCAGAAAGCCACGGCUAACUACGUG
RNAcentral lists this ribosomal RNA (497 nucleotides) under uncultured bacterium. Its description in RNAcentral is "partial 16S ribosomal RNA". It matches the Rfam family "Bacterial small subunit ribosomal RNA", at positions 28 to 507 of the family's 1533-position model. The record is from RNAcentral.